AAAAGAAGAACAAGACCCAAUUUUACACCAGAAUUCAGACUUGAAUGUGCUCAGUUAGUCGUUGAUAAAGGUUACUCAGUCAUUGAAGCUUCUCAAGCAAUGAAUGUAGGU
Molecule: small RNA, 111 nt
Filed under: uncultured Colwellia sp.
Lineage: Bacteria; Pseudomonadati; Pseudomonadota; Gammaproteobacteria; Alteromonadales; Colwelliaceae
Description: isrC Hfq binding RNA
Source: RNAcentral